Brienomyrus brachyistius is the source of this 5303-nucleotide long non-coding RNA. RefSeq lists it as uncharacterized. Lineage: Eukaryota; Metazoa; Chordata; Actinopteri; Osteoglossiformes; Mormyridae. The record is from RefSeq and is a predicted model, not a curated record. The transcript is spliced from 2 exons.
GGAGAUCUAUCUCCGUCCAUUCCAGAGAGGCGUGGGUCAUGUGACCCACAGCCGAAAUUGACAGAUUUCUCUGUGCUAGUGCUGUGUGCUUUUAUAUGCGUGCACGGGGAAGAGCGAGUGUUGUCGUGGGUCCUGAAAUACUGCAUAAAUACGAUUUAUGAACGUUAAUACUUUUAGAUUGUUGAAAUAUCCAGUUUUAAAAUCCUUCAAAAGAAAAAACAACCGCACACUGAAUAUGCGUAAAGAUUGCGCGAGUGCGGAUUUUAAUACUGAUUUAACCAAAUCCAACGUUAAGGACAUAUGAAAUUAAUUCUACAGCGUCUGGUUAUUUUCAUUGUUAUAUGACCACUUUACUGGCGUUAAAACCGUCGGACGGCUUUUAUAAAUAUUAUGAAUCUGCAUAUUGCAUAGUUAUGUAGGAUAUUCGCUAUAUGGCACGGGUUAUGUAACGUACUCUAGUAUAUAUAUAAGCGGGAAGUCUGUACAUUUGCUAAACUGAUCAGUUAAUCUACUAUUUGCUACUGUUGCUACUAAAAUUUGCUUUAGUACACAAUGCAGUAUAUGUGGUAACGCUACACUUAUGUACCAGCUGUAUGUGAAAGUGUAUGUGUGUGUUAUUUUAAAAAAAACAUUCUUAUAGGCUACUCGGGAAAUAUAAUGUGUGUGAAUAUCUGGAUAUUACACACAACAUCGGGUAGUCUAUAUUUGUUUGAAUCCACUGUAACUUUCUGCGUAGAGGGGCGAGGUUCACGUUCAGGUUUAUUCCGGACGUUUUUUGGGUUUUCUUCUCAAUUGUGAAUAAUUCGAAAAAUGCUCCGAUUCGUUUUCGCAUUCUCCUAAGGUUGAGUAACAACAGAGUAAAAUUGCGACUGCGUAAACAAUUCCGGGUGUACAAGUCUGACUAGAUGGUAAACAUGCGCUUUGACGCGAUCACGUAUAGAACCACAGAGUCUUAAAAUAAAUAUACCAUUUUAUACAAGUUAAACAACUGCCAAUUGAACUGCAAUGUACUGAAUGAAAAACAAUUUCGCAUUAGACUACAGUAGUGGACAAAAAUGUACAAAUAGGUCACUGACUAUUGGGAAAACAAAUAUUUUCACCAUGGCCGUCCUCAUCUUAUUAAUUACGCAUUUAACAAUAAAUAAUAAAACUAAUCACAACGUGUGUGUAAUAUAAUUGAAAAUAAAGCAAUCCAUUCUUAUAUUAAUGUUUUCUUCAAAUUUUAUUUGCGAGUGUUUUCAUUGCUAACGUCCAGCAACGCAAAAUGGGGGGCUUUGUAACGUUCCGAGAUGUAGCUUAGCCUGCGCGUAAAAAUUAGAGCGUAGCGUUAAAAUAAAUCGUCCCUUUCAAAAAUAUUUGAGGCAUAACACAUAAAGCCAGAGAAAACACAUAUUCCUCAACACCGGAAGGUCUCGGUUUAAGCUGAAACGAGAAUACGAUUUAGAAAGGAAAAUAUAAGGGUCCAUGGUCAAUUUUAAAGAUCUAGGUAAAGUAGGCCUAGUAUCGAGGCAUGAAAAAUAAACAUUCUGAGGUUUCAGUCAGUUUUAUAGUUUUCUCUGGACCUUUACAUAUACAUUGAAAGACAAUUUUUAUGAGGUAUAAAUUAUACAUUUAGGUCUAAGGUACUACAAGCAUCGUAUUCUUAACUAGCUAUUUGCGCAUCAAGUUUUUAUUCUACACAAAACGGUAUACCGUACUCCUUUCUGAUUUCUGAUUGCGAUUCUUUAGAAUUUUACCUCUUCCCUCCUUACAGUAACCUUUCUCGUGUGUGUGUGUGUGUGCGUGUGCGCGCGCGCGUGUGUGAGAGCGUGGUGCGUGUGUGUAUUGCGGUCUAUUUAGGCAAAAUAAUUAAAAACUGCUCAGUAUAAACGUGCAGGCUAGUAACACACAGGUGUUGUAAAUAAAAGGGUUUUCAGCAUAAUAAAAGCAUUCGGACAAUGGAAUCCUUACAUUAACUCUCGUGAUGCAUCUACGUCUUUCAGGACUGUAAGUUAGUAUAGCAAAACAAUUUAAUUGAACACAUACAAGUGCUGGCUCGAUUGCCUGAUGUUGCUAAAUAUACUUUUAAUCUUCUCGAGAACACCUCGGUAUUAUUCUGGCGGGCCAUGUCUCAUUAACAUGCCUCACAUUUGAAUAAUUGUAACAAAGAGCCAAGUCUUUGCCUUCGUGGCGACACGCUCCGCCUCUGAGUCAAUUCAGACAAAUUCUACCACUUGUGUUGGGGCUUUUAAGCCAUAAUUGAAUGCAGGAUGCCCACGAAAGCCAAAUCCAGUCAGAGACUGACCUGCGGUUUUUUACCGCUUCUGGUAGUCAACUGAGGAUUUUUUUCACUGUAGACAUGACAAAACUGACCAACCGUGAUCGACAUACGCCACCUACGUGGAAAUCCACCAUCUCUGAUGAAAUUAGGAGCCAAAACUAACCGUCGUCAGUGACACAAAGCCGGUUUAUGAAAGGACUCAGGGAGAAUUGAAGGCUGAGACGUCGCACCGAAGAAAUCUUCACAAGUGAACUCAGUGGCUGCAACUACUACAAAUUGAAAUGUGACGAACGGUCUGAAAAAUUUCAAGAAAAUGAGUCGGAAACUCCUGGAUCUUGUGGGGCGCAAUGUAUACAGCCACCGAACGUGGGGCCCCGAACUGCAUUAUAUAUAAUAAGAUUAUGUUUUAGGCAGCAAAUGCAACUCAUAUAUUUUCACUUGUUGUAAUAAUGAUUAUCAUUAUUAGCAUACUUAUUUUAUAUCUUAAUAAUAGGUAUCAUAUACGCAAAAUACAAAACUUUGUAGAUAGUCCCACUGUUAGGAAAUAUACAUUUCCCGUGGCUUUCUGUAUAUAAGGUAUUUCCCGUUGUGUAAUGCGUUUAGUUUAGAUCAGAAUAAAAACGUAGAAAUUGUUUAGCCUUAAAUGCGUUUGGUCAGUUUAAUAUGUGCCAAAAUGUAUCUUUCCCCGCUUUCUGUUGAAGUAUUUCUUUGAAAUUACAUGUGUAACAAUUGCCCACCGCCGAAAGGUAUUGAGCGAUACCCAAACUCUGACUAUUUUACUCAAAAUUUUAAUAUUGUGAGCUGAGGGUAAAGUUAUUGGCGUUAUUGUGUCGGCUGUACGCGAUUAUUCUUUUCGUUCUGAAACUGUUUGGAAUAUUGCUGUUGUCUUCGAAUCGGAUAGACUAUUUUCUUGGCAUUCUGCGCUACCAAUAUAUACAUGUAAUAUCUUUUCAGGUAUUAGAAAUGAACGUUAUUGGUAAAUAUCGGUACAAUCACAUAAGCAUUAAUAUGUCGGGCAGAAUGUAAUGUGCAGAAAUUCAUAGAACUGGACCGGAUAUAUAGAUUAAUUUGCGCAAUUGUAGAUAAGAGUAUUUUUAUUGUGUAGGCUGUGCGAAUUCGGGAUUUACAGAUUUAAUAUAACAAAUAAAAUUAUUAUUGUUAUUAUUAGUAUUACUAUUAAGGGUUUUGAUAAUUGAUAAUGUUUUUUUUUAUUCGAACAAAAAAUGUCGACCUCUAAAGGCAGUAAACAAAGUUUGCAUGCUUAAUGAAAAUGCCAUAGCUAAAAUUAUUUAAAUUUUGUCAACAUAGAUUGUCCGUGAUCAGAAGUGAAGAAGGGCGAUUUUAAAACGGUGACUGUCAUUAAGCACUGUCUUCCGCACACGUGUAUGUCUGAAGGCAAAAAAAAAAAAAAAUCGGCUCGCGGGUGUCAUGGUGGACGGCGAAGGUCAACGUCAGAUGACCCGAGCCUGGCAAGCUAAUCCUUAUACUCCACCAUGUUUUUUUUUAACCUCUUGUGCGCUAGGGCGAGAAACUAAGAGAUUUGGCUUCCAGUUAUGAGCCGCACAAAGCCUGUGUAUUCCUGAUGAAUUAUUUAAGAAGAUGACAAGCCGAGAAAAAUCAUUUCCUGUGUACAAACACAAAAUGGGAUAGGCCUUACAACAAAACGCAGUGUUCAAACAUUAAACAGUUGCAGAGAAUCUGAAAUAUAUAUAUAUAUUUCAUUUGGUUCACAAAGUAAUAUGAAUUUAUUGUUUUAAAAUAGUGAUUGGACGUUUUCAGCUAUUGCCUUUUUUAGUUGCAACGACACGCAAUCCUUACUAUUAGCGUCUUUAAAGGGUACAUUUGAUCUGUUUGCUGCGCCGCAAGAAUGUGUGCAGUGUCGUUUGUUAUAACUAUUUUUAACCAUUAGGUGGCAGCAGAUGCCUCAACAUGAGAUUGCAGAUGUUUCUGACAAUUUGCUCACGGCUAAUUCCAGUUGUCGGCCUUAUUCGGGUUUCUCUGCCGUUUUUGAAUGGCGUGCGCGCAAGAAAGAAUGAUGCAAGCAACUAGUGAAAAACAUAAUUGUAGUUUGGGAGACAGAUCGUACUGUAAAAUAGAGGGUCGUUUUCAUUGGCCUUCAAAGCAGCUAUUAAUUAUAUCUCAUGUAUUGCAGCUAGACCGAUUCAUUUACGUCGUUCAAUAAUAUAGAUUUUCAUUCAAAGCAGAUCAAAUCAAAUGAUUAGAAUUCCACAUAUGCCAUACAGUAAAGUAUACUGUAACAUUUGAAUAAAUUUCAUAUUGUAUGCUUUUUGUAAUAUUUAAAAUUUUUUACAUGAUUAUUUUUUAUUGUUAUAAUUUAUAUAUUUAUAAUAUAACUUUUAGGAGGAGGUCAAAUUAAACGUAACAGCAGACUUUCGUUCGCAAACGCAGGUGUAGAGCCAUAACAUCGGGCUUUUGCUAAACUAUUAUAAAGAAAUUUGCCUUUAUUGCGUGUUCACCAUAAUACAUUAGUUUCUAGAAGCAAGCAAAUCACUAUUAUUCUUGUUGUUGAUGAUGAAGACCCCGACGACAAUGAUUUAUGUAUACUACUUGUAAAGGUUUUGUAUCAAAAUUCUAAAAUAUAAUAUCAUUAAUCGGCAUAGCAGUUUUGGUGAUUAUAAAUAGUCUUGUCGUCGAAGAAAUGUUUCACCGUGAAGUGGUAAUUAUGGUAUCGCUGGAAUCAGUAUCUUUUACUCAUCUGAGGCCCGUGUAUGUAUUUAUUGAUAUGUCAUAUUGGCCGUACACGUCUUCGCAGUUCUUAUAGCCUGUUUAUCUCCAUAUAUUCGAAGUAUCUAAAGCGAGUAUUUCGAAGCUCAGUCGUCCGUUGGCCAAUCAACAGAGAGGUCGGCAUGGCUGCAAACAACAAAGACGAAAAUCCGCCUUUUUUCAGCAGGCUUGUGGUUUUUGUUGUCUACAGCUGAUAUCUUAAGAAGUGUGGAAUAACCUUAACGAGCAGACGUACCAAUGUACAUUUCUUGAUAUGACCGUUUAAAAUAAAACGAAAAAAAAUAAAAUAAAACAACAA